This 66-nucleotide transfer RNA is filed under the name Phrynocephalus vlangalii hongyuanensis. RNAcentral's name for it is "tRNA-Ile". Lineage: Eukaryota; Metazoa; Chordata; Lepidosauria; Squamata; Agamidae. The record is from RNAcentral. RNAcentral also lists the same sequence under 2 other names.
AGAAGCGUGCCCGAGACAGGGGUUAUUUUGAUGAGAUAAACACAGAGCAACAUACUCUCGCUUCCA